Molecule: ribosomal RNA, 465 nt
Filed under: uncultured bacterium
Lineage: Bacteria
Description: partial 16S ribosomal RNA
Rfam family: Bacterial small subunit ribosomal RNA
Source: RNAcentral
GACGAACGCUGGCGGCGUGCUUAACACAUGCAAGUCGAACGGAAAGGCCCUGCUUGCUGGGUACUCGAGUGGCGAACGGGUGAGUAACACGUGGGUGAUCUGCCCUGCACUUCGGGAUAAGCCUGGGAAACUGGGUCUAAUACCGGAUAGGAGCCAUUUUUAGUGUGAUGGUUGGAAAGUUUUUUCGGUGUAGGAUGAGCUCGCGGCCUAUCAGCUUGUUGGUGGGGUAAUGGCCUACCAAGGCGGCGACGGGUAGCCGGCCUGAGAGGGUGGACGGCCACAGUGGGACUGAGAUACGGCCCAGACUCCUACGGGAGGCAGCAGUGGGGAAUAUUGCACAAUGGGCGCAAGCCUGAUGCAGCGACGCCGCGGGGGGGAUGACGGCCUUCGGGUUGUAAACUCCUUUCGCUAGGGACGAAGCUUUUUGUGACGGUACCUAGAUAAGAAGCACCGGCUAACUACGUG